Molecule: long non-coding RNA, 1267 nt
Organism: Ruditapes philippinarum (Manila clam)
Lineage: Eukaryota; Metazoa; Mollusca; Bivalvia; Venerida; Veneridae
Exons: 3
Source: RefSeq, a predicted model, not a curated record
UUUCUAUAUCUUCAAUCACUUAUAAAUUGUCAUGUUUGAGUUAUUAUUCAUAAAUUAGUUUAUAGGGUGGUCAGAAGCAUAUUGAUUUAUUAGUGCUAUUAAUCUAAUUAGGCACAGUAAUUAUUACAUUUAUUAUUUAAACUAUUCUCAGAAAAGCUUACGUCAACAAAAGUAAAGCAAAUUUCUUUGAUUAGGCUAAAUCAAGUGUGAUCUCAGGAAAGCUUCAAUACAAAGUAAAAUCAAUGGGCAACGUUGACGCGACAAUGCAAGGUGGUACAGGUGGUGCAGGCGGUCAGGGAGGUCAAGCUCCAGGUGCUGGGGGUGGCGGAGGAGGGAGUGGAGCCGGAAGCUCAGGUUCAGGUGGGGCGGGAGGAAAUGGUGGAAAUGUGCAAAGGAUUAUUACUCCACAAGCAUUUUUCCUAUGUCGCUGAUAAUUCGUUUUAUGAAACUGUAUUAUGAACUAUCUUCAUAUUUGUGAAAACCAAAUGAACGGAACAAAAUAACUGAAAUAUUAUAUUUACAUGCCAAUUUUUUCAUGUAUUUUAAACUUAAAGAUCAUGUAUGUUGUGUGAUUGACAUUGUUACUGUAUGUAUACCACACCUGCAAAAAAUUAUAUAUGUACAUAAUUAUGCAAAUAAAACAAUUUUCAAACAUCGAAGAAUAUGUAAAAUGUGUACUGUAAAUAUUUGUGCACAUUAUAUUUUAUCAAUAAAUUACAUGCAGUCAUUUCUUAUUGGAAAGUUUGACUUAGAAUUUAUAGAAAUUAAAUUUCCAAUUACCUCCCUUUAUUUACAUGAAAUGUUAAAUUGGGUAAUAUCUUUAGAAUUAAUGCUUAUUGGAACUUACAAUAUUGACAAAUCGUAAUUUGAGCAUCAUAUUUAUGAAAUAAAACUAUGAAAAAAUUGUGUUACAGGAUCUUUAAUAUUGCUUUCUUAUGAAAGUUUCGUCCUAAAUAUAACGUACUCAAUAUGUCACCAAAGUAAGUGUUAUAUUUUAUUUAUUGUACGAUUUAUGACAAAAAAUGUUAUUGUUAAUUUGUGCAAAUAUAUGAAAGAGGCAUUUGUUAUUCGAAAUUCAUUUAUAAAUAAUAUAACCUAAUGCGAGGUAGUAUACUUUUUACCUUACUGUCUUUGUUAUACAUGUAUGUAGCAUAUGUAAAUAUAUGUUAAAGUGCACUUUUGUAAUACGUUCUAGAUAUGUGACAUGUUUAACAUUGAUGUUUAUGUAUUAAGAUGAUAUACUUAUGUAUAAAUCUAAUAAAAUGUC